UACAGAGGGUGCGAGCGUUAAUCGGAAUUACUGGGCGUAAAGCGUGCGCAGGUGGUUUGUUAAGACAGGUGUGAAAUCCCCGGGCUUAACCUGGGAAUUGCGCUUGUUACUGGCAGACCUGAGUGUGGCAGAGGGGGGUGGAAUUCCAAGUGUAGCAGUGAAAUGCGUAGAUAUUUGGAGGAACACCGAUGGCGAAGGCAGCCCCCCGGGUUAACACUGACGCUCAUGCACGAAAGCGUGGGGAGCAAACAGG
Molecule: ribosomal RNA, 253 nt
Filed under: uncultured bacterium
Lineage: Bacteria
Description: partial 16S ribosomal RNA
Rfam family: Bacterial small subunit ribosomal RNA
Source: RNAcentral